Molecule: long non-coding RNA, 3713 nt
Filed under: Triticum aestivum (bread wheat)
Lineage: Eukaryota; Viridiplantae; Streptophyta; Magnoliopsida; Poales; Poaceae
Description: long non-coding RNA (TAES_LNC010556)
Source: RNAcentral
AGCAGCGUCCUCAUCCUCCCAGAACCCCGCCCAACCACUCCACCGAGCUCGAGGAGCCCCUGUUCCCCUCCAUUGCCACCAUGGCCGCCAGCAUCCUCCUCCUAAAUCCGCUCAACGCAGAGCUUCUCCCUCCACUAAACCACCACCAGAGGCCUCCACAACCACCCCGGAGCCAGCCUUGCACCUCUCCUACUCCUCCAAUGGCCUCUGCUCGCGACUCCUCCGGUGCCCGACGCCUUCCUCCGCCACGGCCGAAGCCCUCCUUGCUCCAGGGCUCUCCGGUGGGCGAGUUCCCUCCAUGCGGGUGCGGCCCUCUCCGCUGAGCGCUCCGGUGGUCCGAGCUCCACCGGAGCCGGCCGGGUGAGCGCCGGCAACCGCAGCCUCCCUCUGCUCCAUGGGCGAUCGAGAUGAAGACGACGACACCCCGCCCAGCUGGCCAGGCGGGCCCCGCCUCCCCCCUCGGCCCCACUUGUCGGCCUUUGGUUGUUGACCAGUAUGGGCCCAGGUGCAUAAGUGGAAGCGUACUCUGUCAGAUCCGUCUCCCCCUCUCAAAAGCGCACUUCGGUGUUAUUUAGGCAGGAAUGUAUUUUCCACCCCGGAAAGCGUAUUUCCUUUGUACUACGGCUGAAAGUGUGUUUUCCUUUGCACAAAGCGUGUUUUGACUGAAUGUGUUUUCAGUUUUUCCAGACAGGGACCUGUUGGUGAAGUUUCUUUUACAGAUUGGUCCCUAGACUUCAAACGUCCAUAUCUCCACGACGGUAGCUCCGAAUCAGGUGAAUCUAAAGCCCACAUCUUUGUCUCCUCAAGCCCAUUCUGCUGGUACCAUUUUCACUAUGUGUUCACAUACUGGAAAUGACCAUAUUACCCUUGCCCUUAUCUAGCCCCUCCGAGAGAGAACUGUUUCCGGCAAAUCUUUCCGCGAUCCUUGUGCACUUCUUCCCGGUGAGCUCUUCAUUCCCAAGCAAGCCACGACAGCCACUUGCAUAAUGGUCUUGCAGUAGCCAUGGUUUCCUACUUGAAAAUAAUAAAUUGUUUGUGCAUGUUAAUAUUUUAUGAAUCUUUACUCCUAUAAAAAUACGAGUUGAUGAUGAUGGUGUGUCUGCCUUCAGGCUAUAUAUACCGUCCGAUCUGAAAUAUAAGGUUGAGAUUGAGACUGAGACGUAUUGUGCCCAACCAACCUCCAAAACACUAAUAGUCCAGAUGUUUCUCCUUUUCUCCGGGAAACAGAUUAUUCUAGAACCCCUCCAAACCUCUAGACUAUUCAUGAUAUAUGCAAUUAUAUACUGAUUCACUACAAGCGUGAGAUUAUUAACAUUAACAAUUUAACAUGUAUAUAUGGACGUAUCAAAAGGAGGAAAUUCUAGCCACGAGUAGGAGUCGCCCUCCCACUUCUCAGGAAGAUGACAGUUUUCAGUCACUGCCUUAUUAUGUCAUAGUGGCUCAACUCAGCGACAUCCAUGACCGACACAAGAGGAGGGGGCUUGAAGUCCGGUGUUUGCUCCGUAGUGAAGCAUCAGUGACUAGAUUAUGCAUACACCGUGCAACCUACGGGCUCUUUUGCUAUCACUAUAUAAAGGGUCUCCAUGCUCCGGUAAAAGAACAUCAUAAACUUUUGCUAUCACUAUAUAUGCUCGUGAAUCCAUGCUUAUCUUUAUGAUAUGAUCAUUUUGCAUCUAUUAUUUAAAUGGUUACUUGCUAGUAUUAUUAUCAUGUUCUUUUCUGGUAAAUAUUCCCAAUGCUAGUGGUCAUGCUAUGUUCAUAUGUAGUGUUGUUAUUAUAAUUGUGAUCAUUGCUAUGCCAUGCUCAUGUGCAUCUAGGAGGGUAAAUGAUUUGUUGUUGCUGACAUGUUAAAUAGUGAUGUUGCUCACUCAUGCUCAUGUUGAUAUCCUGCUCAUAUGCAUUGUUAGUCCAUCAUGUUAUUGUGACCCGGCUAAUUACAUUAACGUUAAAUCGGACUUUAAUACAACUUGAACAUCUAUUGGCUGAGUCAUAGUGCCAUCGAAUCUAGCUGACCAGUGCAGCCACACUUGCCUUAUGGGGGGGGCUGAUUGGGUUUAUUGUCACACCUCUCGCCGGUGCCUCCAACUAGGGAAAGUUAUACAUGUGCGCUACCCUGAUCAGGUAGGCCGGUAUAAGCCUUGUGUGCCCGAUUUGUUUGCGCGAUUUUGUCCUCGUUUGGGACCGUUUAUGUUUUGCCACGACGGUGGUUGUUGGGUGUCAUGAGGUGACAUCGAGGCCACCCAUGACUUAGCCCAAAAGAGGAGUUGGUCGGAGUGGCCGGGAGAGUGUCAUGCAAUAGAUCGGUUUUGUCGGAACGCUGUUGGUACACUCAAAUGGGAGUACGAGGCUUGGGUUCCAUGGUGUCGGUACAAUGUACUAACCUCUGUAGAGUGUAUAAUCUAUCGAUAGCCGCGCCCACGGAUAUGGGCCCAGUUCGUAGUAGGUUACACUAUGGGUUAACAGUAAUAAAAAUUUGAAUAAUAACAACCCAGGUUCAAUGAGGAAAGAAGUUGGUUGAUCUUUAUGUGAUCAUGAGAGGAUCACAGUGGUAUCGUGGAUACCGAAGCUGGUUGAUGUUUGUGGUGGUAUGCGAUAAUCACGGGUAAGGAUCAAGCUUCUUGUGGUCAGGAAAUGAUUACUACGGUAUUGUUAAUACCAAGCUUGAUUUGAUCCUGAGGUGAUCGUGUGAUGUCCACGAUGGUAAGUGGUACAUGUGGUGGUUACAAGGUAACCACGAACAGAGUAAGUUGAAUCAUGAUAGUUUAAACAUGAUGCAUGCUAAUAUCAUCAUGCUCAUAAGUUCAUGCUAUGUUCAUCUCAUAUGGUUUUAGUUGUGCUAUGGUUAACAUGCUCAUGCCUUGUUCUUGUUGUUCUAGUAGUAUCAUGCUUAUCAUGGACGAUUAACGUGUAAAUGUCAUGUUGUUGCUUGUCUUGAUUGCUUUUGGUUGUUGUGAGCUUGCGAGUACAUUCAAAGUACUCACCUGGUGUGUCAUCCAGUUUGCAGGUCAUGCCGUGUUUGCUUGACUGUCGAGGAUCCCGAGUUUGUGAGCUAGGAUAAGCGUUCCAGCCAGAGCCCCUGCGGAGUGAUAUCCAUCGCUUUCGUCGUCAUUCCGCUGCUAGAAGUUAUUCCGCUGCUAAGAGUUGUUCUACUGCUAGCAUAGAGCAACCUGAGCAGGCAUAGUGUCGCCAUGCGGACGUAAUUUGUUGUGAUAUCGAAACCCUUGUAUCUGUAUCAUUUGUAAUGAAAAGUUGAUUUGUUCUAUGCCAAGCAGUGCCGUAUUCCAGAAGACUUUAUCUUUGGGCUGGAAUACGGGGUGUUCCGGUCUCUCUAAGCCGAGGUGCCACAGGAGAUUGUCGACAUCCCCAACAACGACGGGUAGUAGGCUAGCUUAGGUUUGUCUACAUAGUAGGUACAUUUUCUUUUGCAUGUUUUGUAUGGAUUUAAGGUGCUUAUCAAACUAGAGAAUACCCCACGCAUUGUUGUGGAAUUUUGUAUGCUGCAUUGGUUUAGGGUUAAAUAGGAAGAGGAAUGGUUUUGGAAGUAAAGCAACAUUAAAUUGCAGCCAGGUCAGAAGGUCAAGGAAAGAAAACCGGAAUUAGCGAACAUAUGCAGCAAUCAAUCAUAGUCCUUGUUAGAUGUCAUGAUGCAAAGGAAGCUGAAGCUCCAAGUGCUUCUAUGGAGCUUGCCUUGAUGUGGGUCGUGUGGGUGUGCC